AGCAGUCGCCACGGGAAUACAGAGGGUGCGAGCGUUAAUCGGAUUUACUGGGCGUAAAGCGUGCGUAGGCGGCUUCUUAAGUCGGAUGUGAAAUCCCUGAGCUUAACUUAGGAAUUGCAUUCGAUACUGGGAAGCUAGAGUAUGGGAGAGGAUGGUAGAAUUCCAGGUGUAGCGGUGAAAUGCGUAGAGAUCUGGAGGAAUACCGAUGGCGAAGGCAGCCAUCUGGCCUAAUACUGACGCUGAGGUACGAAAGCAUGGGGAGCAAACAGGAUUAGAUACCCGAGUAGUCCCUGUCUCUUAUAC
RNAcentral lists this ribosomal RNA (303 nucleotides) under uncultured bacterium. RNAcentral's name for it is "partial 16S ribosomal RNA". It matches the Rfam family "Bacterial small subunit ribosomal RNA", at positions 507 to 807 of the family's 1533-position model. The record is from RNAcentral.